RNAcentral lists this ribosomal RNA (492 nucleotides) under uncultured bacterium. RNAcentral describes it as "partial 16S ribosomal RNA". It matches the Rfam family "Bacterial small subunit ribosomal RNA", at positions 29 to 507 of the family's 1533-position model. The record is from RNAcentral.
AGUGAACGCUGGCGGUAGGCCUAACACAUGCAAGUCGAACGGCAGCACAGUAAGAGCUUGCUCUUACGGGUGGCGAGUGGCGGACGGGUGAGGAAUACAUCGGAAUCUACUUUUUCGUGGGGGAUAACGUAGGGAAACUUACGCUAAUACCGCAUACGACCUACGGGUGAAAGCAGGGGAUCUUCGGACCUUGCGCGAUUGAAUGAGCCGAUGUCGGAUUAGCUAGUUGGCGGGGUAAAGGCCCACCAAGGCGACGAUCCGUAGCUGGUCUGAGAGGAUGAUCAGCCACACUGGAACUGAGACACGGUCCAGACUCCUACGAGAGGCAGCAGUGGGGAAUAUUGGACAGUGGGCGCAAGCCUGAUCCAGCCAUACCGCGUGGGUGAAGAAGGCCUUCGGGUUGGAAAGCCCUUUUGUUGGGAAAGAAAAGCAGCAGGUUAAUACCCCGCUGUUCUGACGGUACCCAAAGAAUAAGCACCGGCUAACUUCGUG